Molecule: ribosomal RNA, 105 nt
Filed under: Minisyncoccota bacterium
Lineage: Bacteria; Bacillati; Minisyncoccota
Source: RNAcentral
UUUGGUGGUUUAACGCGGUGGUCACACCCGGUCACAUUCCGAACCCGGAAGUUAAGCGCCGUAGUAGCGAUGGUACUGUAAAGGGAGAGUAGCUAACCGCCAGAA